GACGAACGCUGGCGGCGUGCUUAACACAUGCAAGUCGAACGGAAAGGCCCUGCUUUUGUGGGGUGCUCGAGUGGCGAACGGGUGAGUAACACGUGAGUAACCUGCCCUUGACUUUGGGAUAACUUCAGGAAACUGGGGCUAAUACCGGAUAGGAGCUCCUGCUGCAUGGUGGGGGUUGGAAAGGUUCGGCGGUUGGGGAUGGACUCGCGGCUUAUCAGCUUGUUGGUGGGGUAGUGGCUUACCAAGGGUUUGACGGGUAGCCGGCCUGAGAGGGUGACCGGCCACAUUGGGACUGAGAUACGGCCCGGCCUCCUACGGGAGGCAGCAGUGGGGAAUAUUGCACAAUGGGCGGAAGCCUGAUGCAGCAACGCCGCGUGCGGGAUGACGGCCUUCGGGUUGUAAACCGCUUUCGCCUGUGACGGAGCGUGAGUGACGGUAAUGGGUAAAGAAGCACCGGCUAACUACGUG
RNAcentral lists this ribosomal RNA (468 nucleotides) under uncultured bacterium. Its description in RNAcentral is "partial 16S ribosomal RNA". It matches the Rfam family "Bacterial small subunit ribosomal RNA", at positions 28 to 507 of the family's 1533-position model. The record is from RNAcentral.